AAUAGGGCACGUGGCUAAUAAUAAAU
Molecule: non-coding RNA, 26 nt
Filed under: Cricetulus griseus (Chinese hamster)
Lineage: Eukaryota; Metazoa; Chordata; Mammalia; Rodentia; Cricetidae
Source: RNAcentral